GUCGAGCGGGGUUACUGCGACAGAUCCCUUCGGGGUGACGUUGCUUUAACCUAGCGGCGGACGGGUGAGUAACGCGUGGGUAACCUACCCUAAAGCUCGGGAUAACAGUGGGAAACCGCUGCUAAUACCGGAUGACUUUAACCUAUGGCAUCAUGGGUUAAAGAAAGAUUUAUCGCUUUAGGAUGGGCCCGCGUCCCAUUAGCUAGUUGGUGAGGUAACGGCUCACCAAGGCGACGAUGGGUAGCCGGCCUGAGAGGGUGUACGGCCACACUGGGACUGAGGCACGGCCCAGACUCCUACGGGAGGCAGCAGUAGGGAAUAUUGCGCAAAGGACGGAAGUCUGACGCAGCGACGCCGCGUGAGCGAUGAAGGCCUUCGGGUCGUAAAGCUCUGUCCUUGGGGAAGAAGGUCUUCGGACUUGACGGUACCCAAGAAGAAAGCCCCGGCUAACUACGUGCCAGCAGCCGCGGUAAUACGUAGGGGGCGAGCGUUGUCCGGAAUUACUGGGCGUAAAGGGUGCGUAGGCGGCCCUUUAAGUCAGAUGUGAA
Molecule: ribosomal RNA, 548 nt
Filed under: uncultured bacterium
Lineage: Bacteria
Description: bacterial SSU rRNA
Rfam family: Bacterial small subunit ribosomal RNA
Source: RNAcentral